RNAcentral lists this ribosomal RNA (783 nucleotides) under Aphelenchoides sp. 5 GVDU-2019. RNAcentral describes it as "SSU rRNA". It matches the Rfam family "Eukaryotic small subunit ribosomal RNA", at positions 101 to 925 of the family's 1831-position model. The record is from RNAcentral. Lineage: Eukaryota; Metazoa; Nematoda; Chromadorea; Rhabditida; Aphelenchoididae.
UUACAACAGAUAUAAUCUACUUGUUCUAUUCCCAUUAAACGGAUAACUGCGGUAAUUCUGGAGCCAAUACGUGUUAAAAGCCAAAUUCAGCAAUGAGUUUGGUGCACUUAUCGGAGCAAAAUCAAUCUUGAUACAUGCUAACUCUAGAUAACCAAGCUUAUCGCAUGACCUUGUGUCGGCGAAAUUACAUUCGAGUAUCUGCCUUAUCAACUAUCGUUGGUAGUGUAUUGGACUACCAUGGUGUUGACGGGUAACGGAGAAUCAGGGUUCGACUCCGGAGAGGGAGCCUUAGAAACGGCUACCAUGUCUAAGGACAGCAGCAGGCGCGCAACUUAUCCACUGUUCAUUGAACGAGAUAGUGACGAGAAAUAACAAGCCCGUUCUCUUUGAGGUCGGGCAUUGGAAUGGAUGAAAUCUAAACAAUUUCAUGAGUACCCACGAGAGGGCAAGUCUGGUGCCAGCAGCCGCGGUAAUUCCAGCUCUCGUAAUGUAUAGAAUUAUUGUUGCGGUUAAAAAGUUCGUAGUUGGAUUCUGUACCAGUUGUGGGUAGUGCUUAACGGCUCUCACUCACACUGGUUUUUGCACAAUGAGGGCUUGCUCUCACUGUGUAGAUUACUUUGAACGGCUUAAGUGCUCAAGGCGAGUCUUCGGACUGAAUACCGGUGCAUGGAAUAAUGGAACAAGGUUUCGGCCGAGUUUUAUUGGUUUUGUCGGCUAAAACAAUGGUUAAAAGGAACAGCUGGGGGCACUCGUAUUGCUGCGCGAGAGGUGAAAUUCGUGGAC